CCUUUCUCCCCCUCUUCCCCAAACCCUCUUCCGCCGCACCUCCCCUCCCCCUUUCCCUCCGUCGCCACCACCUCCCUCUGUCACCACCACCGCGUCUGACACCCCACACCUUCCUGUUCCCCACUCCUUUCUUUCACCGUCAUCCCCUCUCUCUCAUCUCCACGCUCCCUGACACCCUCACUUCACCGUGUCUCCCCUACGCGUCUGACACCCCACACCUUCCUGUUCCCCACGCUCUUCCCUCUCCCGCUUCCUUCAAACAACUAUAAAUAAAGGGGAGAGAAGGGGAUCUUUUUUUCGAUGUUUGAAACCCCGAAGAACAGGACUUUUUGGAAAACCCUCUCUAAGAAUAAGAUUUUUUUUAGGACCAAGCCCUUUUGAAUCGCAAGAACUCCCCCCCUUCGAGAAAAUAUAUACAAGUUUUAGUAGCCUAAAUUCAGGAAAAAUCAGGGGUCUAGCAUUUUGCCUCAGUGUUUGAUAGCGAGUCAAAGUUCAAAUCACCAUUUCGUUUUUUUUUUUUAUUAUUUGUUUUUUGCUCUUGGUGUUCGCGUGGAUCCGAGAGUAUAUAAGUUUAAGGAUUCGGGUUUGUUUCAAGGUAGAUUUGAGGGUGUUUCGAGUGUGAAUCGAAGAUCCCUACCCAUUUCGCUGCACCCGAAAAAGAAUGGUGGUAUAACACAUCAUUCCACUCUUCCAUUCAGAUUACUCCAUUUGAAGCUUUAUAUGGCCAACCUCCUCCAUUGCACCUACCUUACAUUGCAUUGAAAGUGCGAUUCUCUUCUUUUGUUCCUUGAGGACAAGAAACAUUUUAAGAGGGAUUGCAUUGAAAGUGCGAUUCUCUUCUUUUGUUCCUUGAGGACAAGAAACAUUUUAAGAGGGGAGUACUGAUGUGUUCUGGAAAUUGGCACGCUUAGGAAGUAGUACUCGCUGCUUGCGGAAGUGUACAGAUGGAGUUAAUGGAGUUAGUUAUAUGGCGGGGCCCAGUUAGUUAUCAAGUACCAAGCAUUGCACUUUAGUCCUUUCAUUUUUGUCACAGUAUUUACUUUAUUUACCCAUUAGACCCUAAACUAGGAAGAGCACAAUGUAAGCUCAUUCCCUGUCACUAUUGCAUUUAUGAAAUGAGAACUUUUAUCUUGUCUUUAA
Lycium barbarum (goji berry) is the source of this 1140-nucleotide long non-coding RNA. RefSeq lists it as uncharacterized. The record is from RefSeq and is a predicted model, not a curated record. The transcript is spliced from 2 exons. Lineage: Eukaryota; Viridiplantae; Streptophyta; Magnoliopsida; Solanales; Solanaceae.